GCGAGCGUAGCUCAGUGGUAGAGCUCCAGCUUCCCAAGCUGGCUAUGGGGGUUCGAUUCCCCUCGCUCGCUCCA
RNAcentral lists this transfer RNA (74 nucleotides) under Candidatus Omnitrophota bacterium. RNAcentral describes it as "Candidatus Omnitrophica bacterium (sediment metagenome) tRNA-Gly". It matches the Rfam family "tRNA". Rfam says of the family: Transfer RNA (tRNA) molecules are approximately 80 nucleotides in length. Their secondary structure includes four short double-helical elements and three loops (D, anti-codon, and T loops). The record is from RNAcentral. Lineage: Bacteria; Pseudomonadati; Candidatus Omnitrophota.